This is a long non-coding RNA of Balaenoptera acutorostrata (minke whale), 809 nucleotides long. RefSeq lists it as uncharacterized. The record is from RefSeq and is a predicted model, not a curated record. The transcript has 3 exons. Lineage: Eukaryota; Metazoa; Chordata; Mammalia; Artiodactyla; Balaenopteridae.
AUCAGAAGGGAAGAAACAAGAGGAAAGUGAAGGAUUGAAGAUGAAGGAACAAGGAUGAUUGAUGGAGUGAAGUCCCAGAGGACGGAAGGAUGAAAGGCAUCAAGAUAACAAGUGGAACAAUUAUUUUACAAAAAGACAAAAUAAUUCCUCCUCUGAGACAGGACUAAAGGAGGAAAGUAUAGGUACUGACCCAGAGAAAAUCGGGGGCAAAGAGGAAGAUAAUUAAAGUGGCCGCUCCCCUGAAUCUCAUGGAAAUGCACUCAGGGUUUGGUUGUCUCCAGUCUAGGCAGGAGGAGAUAUUAUUGGCUUGUAGAACUGUGGGUUUGUUGUGAAUUAUAAUUAAGUCAUGUCAGCAUGAGGCUGUAAUUUCUAUUACUACAUAAGGCAAUAGUUUUGCUACUGAGACCUAAUGACCAGGUCCAGGCUGGGAAGUUCUGCUGGGAUAGCACUGGGGAAGUCCUUCCUGACCUGCAUUUGCAUUGCCGGGCUCAGCAUUCUCCAUUUAUGCCUGUUCUGCUUUGACUUUCCAGAUGAACCUCUAGGGAGAGGGAGAAGUGUGUGCUCGUCUGACCAGGAACCCAGCAUCACAGCCCAGGGAAGGUGAUGUUCCUCUGUGUGACAGAAAGAACACAGGACAACUAGCUGGCCCAAUGCAUUGAUGACAUCAUGCUGACUGAACCUUACUAGAUGUCCUACUAAGACACAUGCAGCAGCUUUGGGGAGACAAAUCAGAUCAUCAGGAGUACUUUCUGGGUCUUCCUGAGAAAAAUCUCCUGGAAAAUGGAAAUACCUACAUUAAUACGUAUUAA